This 21-nucleotide small nuclear RNA is filed under the name Arabidopsis thaliana (thale cress). Its description in RNAcentral is "snRNA_07719". The record is from RNAcentral. Lineage: Eukaryota; Viridiplantae; Streptophyta; Magnoliopsida; Brassicales; Brassicaceae.
GAACCGUUAAAUCAACGGCUG